This 695-nucleotide ribosomal RNA is filed under the name Acmella minima. RNAcentral's name for it is "eukaryotic LSU rRNA". It matches the Rfam family "Eukaryotic large subunit ribosomal RNA", at positions 358 to 857 of the family's 3401-position model. The record is from RNAcentral. Lineage: Eukaryota; Metazoa; Mollusca; Gastropoda; Littorinimorpha; Assimineidae.
GGAAAGUUGAAAAGAACUUUGAAGAGAGAGUUCAACAGUACGUGAAACCGCCUAGAGGUAAACGGGUGGAUCCGCAAAGUCGGCCCGCGGAAUUCAGCUCGGAGGCACGGCGCCGGUUGGGGGUCGGAGAUCUGAACGGACUCCUCUCCAGCCUGUUUUGUCGUCGUGUCGCCGUGUGCACUUUCCGCGGGCAGAGCGCCACGACCGGUUCUCGAGCGGUCAGAAGGCGGCGAGCAAGGUGGGUGCCCGCUUCGGCGGCCACUUCUUAUAGGCUCGCCUGUCCCGAUCCGCUUGGGGACCGAGGAGCCGCCGCCGGUGUAGGCCGCUUCGCUCUCCUGGGAGGUUCGACUGGCAGAGACUGGGCAACCGUGUCUGCCGACCGCCGCCUUUGGACGGACGAGGUGGGCCCGCCGGCACAGGGUCAGUGGCACAUCGGUCGGCCCUCCACCCGACCCGUCUUGAAACACGGACCAAGGAGUCUAACAUGCGCGCAAGUCGUUGGGCAGUACGAAACCCGAAGGCGAAGUGAAAGCAAGGGCCGUCUCUGACGCGCCUAGGUGGGAUCCCGGUCCCCUCGCUUGGGGCUGGGCGCACCACCGGCCCGUCUCGUCCGCGUUGUCGGUGAGGCGGAGCAGGAGCGUGCACGUUGGGACCCGAAAGAUGGUGAACUAUGCCUGAGUAGGACGAAGCCAGAG